This 72-nucleotide transfer RNA is filed under the name Planctomycetota bacterium. RNAcentral's name for it is "Planctomycetes bacterium (rhizosphere metagenome) tRNA-Cys". It matches the Rfam family "tRNA". From Rfam's summary of the family: Transfer RNA (tRNA) molecules are approximately 80 nucleotides in length. Their secondary structure includes four short double-helical elements and three loops (D, anti-codon, and T loops). Further hydrogen bonds mediate the characteristic L-shaped molecular structure. tRNAs have two regions of fundamental functional importance: the anti-codon, which is responsible for specific mRNA codon recognition, and the 3' end, to which the tRNAs corresponding amino acid is attached (by aminoacyl-tRNA synthetases). tRNAs cope with the degeneracy of the genetic code in two manners: having more than one tRNA (with a specific anti-codon) for a particular amino acid; and 'wobble' base-pairing, i.e. permitting non-standard base-pairing at the 3rd anti-codon position. The record is from RNAcentral. Lineage: Bacteria; Pseudomonadati; Planctomycetota.
GACGCCGGGGCUGGACGGCGAGGCAGCCGCCUGCAAAGCGGCUUCAAACAGGUUCGACUCCUGUGGGCGUCU